AUGCAGUCGACGAUGAACCGCUUAUCGGGCGGGGAUUAGUGGCGAACGGGUGAGUAACACGUGGGCAAUCUGCCCUGCACUCUGGGACAAGCCCUGGAAACGGGGUCUAAUACCGGAUAUGACCGUCUGCCGCAUGGUGGAUGGUGUAAAGCUCCGGCGGUGCAGGAUGAGCCCGCGGCCUAUCAGCUUGUUGGUGAGGUAGUGGCUCACCAAGGCGACGACGGGUAGCCGGCCUGAGAGGGCGACCGGCCACACUGGGACUGAGACACGGCCCAGACUCCUACGGGAGGCAGCAGUGGGGAAUAUUGCACAAUGGGCGAAAGCCUGAUGCAGCGACGCCGCGUGAGGGAUGACGGCCUUCGGGUUGUAAACCUCUUUCAGCAGGGAAGAAGCGAAAGUGACGGUACCUGCAGAAGAAGCGCCGGCUAACUACGUGCCAGCAGCCGCGGUAAUACGUAGGGCGCAAGCGUUGUCCGGAAUUAUUGGGCGUAAAGAGCUCGUAGGCGGCUUGUCACGUCGGUUGUGAAAGCCCGGGGCUUAACCCCGGGUCUGCAGUCGAUACGGGCAGGCUAGAGUUCGGUAGGGGAGAUCGGAAUUCCUGGUGUAGCGGUGAAAUGCGCAGAUAUCAGGAGGAACACCGGUGGCGAAGGCGGAUCUCUGGGCCGAUACUGACGCUGAGGAGCGAAAGCGUGGGGAGCGAACAGGAUUAGAUACCCUGGUAGUCCACGCCGUAAACGGUGGGCACUAGGUGUGGGCAACAUUCCACGUUGUCCGUGCCGCAGCUAACGCAUUAAGUGCCCCGCCUGGGGAGUACGGCCGCAAGGCUAAAACUCAAAGGAAUUGACGGGGGGCCCGCACAAGCGGCGGAGCAUGUGGCUUAAUUCGACGCAACGCGAAGAACCUUACCAAGGCUUGACAUACACCGGAAACGUCUGGAGACAGGCGCCCCCUUGUGGUCGGUGUACAGGUGGUGCAUGGCUGUCGUCAGCUCGUGUCGUGAGAUGUUGGGUUAAGUCCCGCAACGAGCGCAACCCUUGUCCCGUGUUGCCAGCAGGCCCUUGUGGUGCUGGGGACUCACGGGAGACCGCCGGGGUCAACUCGGAGGAAGGUGGGGACGACGUCAAGUCAUCAUGCCCCUUAUGUCUUGGGCUGCACACGUGCUACAAUGGCCGGUACAAUGAGCUGCGAUACCGUGAGGUGGAGCGAAUCUCAAAAAGCCGGUCUCAGUUCGGAUUGGGGUCUGCAACUCGACCCCAUGAAGUCGGAGUCGCUAGUAAUCGCAGAUCAGCAUUGCUGCGGUGAAUACGUUCCCGGGCCUUGUACACACCGCCCGUCACGUCACGAAAGUCGGUAACACCCGAAGCCGGUGGCCCAACCCCUGUGGGAGGGAGCUU
Molecule: ribosomal RNA, 1394 nt
Filed under: Streptomyces sp.
Lineage: Bacteria; Bacillati; Actinomycetota; Actinomycetes; Kitasatosporales; Streptomycetaceae
Description: bacterial SSU rRNA
Rfam family: Bacterial small subunit ribosomal RNA
Source: RNAcentral